This is a long non-coding RNA of Neolamprologus brichardi, 712 nucleotides long. RefSeq lists it as uncharacterized. The record is from RefSeq and is a predicted model, not a curated record. NCBI's taxonomy places the organism in Eukaryota, Metazoa, Chordata, Actinopteri, Cichliformes, Cichlidae.
GAUUGUUCAGUGGUUUCUGGACAUGGUUGCUGUUGCUAGGUGAAACUGGUCACGAAGAGGGGCAGGAAGGUACAAUGCUGCCUGACACACGGGCCACAGUAAGUGAUGGAAUGUGCUGCACUUCAUAUCUGAUUCUGCUGUGGGUACGGAGCAGAGAACAUGCAGGAAAAGGCAGCAGACGCUACCAAGAGACCAGAGAGCAACAUCGGGACAUGGCCCAGAUGGGCAUCAAGGGAAAUAGUUUCCAGCCAAGACAUUAAGUGUGCACAUACUGGCAAAGAAACAAGAGCACAGUCUAGCCUGCACUAUGUGUUGUGUGGAGUAAACAAAAGAAGCAGCAAUGAGCAUCCAGAGUAGGCGCAAGGUUAUUCUUUUUUAAGCCAUAACAAAAAAGGCUAAAAAUGAGGGAAGGUGUAAGGCAACCACUGGGUGUUGGAGUGGUUUCAUAAAGGAACUGAGAUGGCGCUCUGCUAUUGACACACUGCUGAGUGUACUUGGGAAGAUUUAAUAACCUCUUAUCUUAUCAGUUUAACCCAGUGCGCACCUGAAAGUUAGAACAGCAAAGUCAACCAUUAAACUGUGCCUCGAAGCUACGUGGACGUCGAUGUAUAUUAAAUAAGCAGUAGAUGUUUCCUGCUGCUAACAGAAAGGGAUUGGUUCUAAUUUUUCCUGUUUAAUUGUGUAAAUAAAGAUCGGGUGUGCGCACUUGUGA